UCGGAGAUGGGGGCAAGGCCUGAAAAGUUCAGCUACUUUAGAUGAGUUGUGCCAGAGAAUCACCGGUUGAGGUGACUGAAAGUUCUGAACUGGGGGUGGCCAAAAGCAUCCUCCUCAGAUGGGAACAUCCCAAAAGUCUGCAGAAGCUCAGCCUCUGAGGUGAACGUUGUGGCCCAAACGUCUCUCUGCUCUGUACCUCGCAGGAUUGCAGCCGGCUGUUCCAAUCCAGGAGGAAAACUCUGCCACUGAAAUCUCACAGCCCCUGUGCAGUGAAGUGCCACUUAAACCCACUGUGAUGCACAGACCUUGCCCUGGCUGUCUGCACAGGCCUGAAUUUCACCCCUUCAGAGUGUAUUCUAAGGGCACCCCGUGCUUCAUAUGGGCAUUCUUGGGUGGGCAGAUUGCAUCAGACCUGCACCUUAAUAAAUAAUAGUGAAUGAAAUAUGCAGACACUAAAGUCCUGCAGACAAAUUCGCAGAAACCUUCCUCUUCAAUGUAGGACCAGGAUUUUGUAUUUAAUUGAUGUUUUUUAAAGUGCUGAGCAGAUGCUACACUGUAAGGAGAGGAAAUAGAAGCAAAAACUGAAAGAAUGUUACUUAAACCGGUGAACAGAUGCAGAGAGUGGAGACACAACAAAGCAAACAAAUGAAUACUGUGAGUAAAUAACAUGAAAGCAAAUGGGGGGGAAACCCUCAUCUGGGUAAUUGUGGCUCUUGGCACAAAGAUCAGGUUCCUGGUACUAGCCUGGCUGAAAGCAUCCCUUAUCCCUGGAUCCCAGACCUAGGAUACAGAUGUCAUUCUCUGUUUGGUGUCCUUAUUUUACUCCUAGGAAAAGGAUCCCCAAAGGAGGUGUAAGGAUCCUGGACUGUGGUACCUGUAAGCAGCUUCAGCCACCUUCACAGGUAAAAGUCACUGUCUUUCCUACAAUGCCACUAGUGCCCUUUCUGCUCUCCAGGUCUGCUCCCUCCAGCAGGUCAGAGACACCCCUUAACUCCCCAAGUCCUGAUUUCUUGCCAUUCAAGGGGCUGAGGGCUUCCAUUGCCCCCACCCCCACCAUCAGAUACUUUUCCUAUGGGGAGAAAUCUGUUCUUCUCUUAGAAGCAGUCUGCUCAGUAAAUCCACCCACAUGGACCUCAUCUCAGCUGCUUUGUUUAUCUGAGAUUAGUGGUAUCUUUGGAAAACGCUUAGGGUGCCGGGGUGUGAGGUGGAGCAGGUGAGACGGGAGCUCCAGCAGAUUCCCCUGAAGAACACCACCCUGUCUUUCUCUGGUCAGGCUAGAGCUCACCAUCCAUUGUGGAGGUGAAGACCGGAUGGGAGCUGCUGGAUUGACUUUGAUGUGCCAUGUCCUUGUGUGGAUGAAAGACCUACGUCUCAGAGAUUGCCAGCAGCAGAUGUAACACGUGUCCAGGAAUAGGCUAAACAACCUACAGUGAUAGAUCAUCAGCUGCGCAGCAGAAUGCAGGAGAGCUGAGUGCGGAUGGGCUAGAGGGGUCACAGGAGUCACCGCACGGCUGUGCAGCAGGUGCAGUGUCUGCAGUCAUCACAGGCCAAACCCUGCGCUCCAGACAACCCAGGCUCUUUCUCUGGAUUGCGAAGGGGACUUUAGCUUUAGCCGUUUUCAUGUUUGCAAUUAAAGGAAGCCAGAUAUCUAGCUACUUGAGAGCCCCCUUGUUCCA
This is a non-coding RNA of Chrysemys picta bellii (western painted turtle), 1676 nucleotides long. The record is from RefSeq and is a predicted model, not a curated record. Lineage: Eukaryota; Metazoa; Chordata; Testudines; Emydidae.